RNAcentral lists this ribosomal RNA (230 nucleotides) under uncultured bacterium. RNAcentral describes it as "partial 16S ribosomal RNA". It matches the Rfam family "Bacterial small subunit ribosomal RNA", at positions 15 to 228 of the family's 1533-position model. The record is from RNAcentral.
GAUCAUGGCUCAGGACGAACGCUGGCGGCGUGCUUAACACAUGCAAGUCGAACGAGAAUCUACGGAUCGAGGAUUCGUCCAAGUGAAGUAGAGGACAGUGGCGGACGGGUGAGUAACGCGUGAGGAACCUGCCUUUCAGAGGGGGACAACAGUUGGAAACGACUGCUAAUACCGCAUGACACAUUGGGGUCGCAUGGCCCUGAUGUCAAAGAUUUAUCGCUGAAAGAUGG